AGGCUAUUGUGUGGGCAGUGUUUUUAUAAGGCCUUGUAUCUCUCUUAUGCUUUGUAUAGAGUUUUAUCAUCCUUUGUAGUAAACUUGUUGAUGUCGUUUCUGAUCUU
This is a small nucleolar RNA of Mangifera indica (mango), 107 nucleotides long. NCBI's taxonomy places the organism in Eukaryota, Viridiplantae, Streptophyta, Magnoliopsida, Sapindales, Anacardiaceae. The record is from RefSeq and is a predicted model, not a curated record.